CGCGUAGGCGGUGGACACAGUCAGGCGUGAAAUUCCCGGGCUCAACCUGGGGGCUGCGCUUGAUACAUGUUCGCUGGAGUUCGGAAGAGGGUCGUGGAAUUCCCAGUGUAGAGGUGAAAUUCGUAGAUAUUGGGAAGAACACCGGUGGCGAAGGCGGCGACCUGGUCCGAUACUGACGCUGAGGCGCGAAAGCGUGGGGAGCAAACAGGAUUAGAUACCCUGGUAGUCCACGCCGUAAACGAUGUGCGCUGGAUGUUGGGCGGUCUGACCGCUCAGUGUCGUAGCCAACGCGAUAAGCGCACCGCCUGGGGAGUACGGCCGCAAGGUUGAA
This 331-nucleotide ribosomal RNA is filed under the name uncultured bacterium. Its description in RNAcentral is "bacterial SSU rRNA". It matches the Rfam family "Bacterial small subunit ribosomal RNA", at positions 568 to 898 of the family's 1533-position model. The record is from RNAcentral.